UCCUACGGGGGGCAGCAGUGAGGAAUAUUGGUCAAUGGGCGGGAGCCUGAACCAGCCAAGUCGCGUGAGGGAAGACGGUCCUAUGGAUUGUAAACCUCUUUAGGCGGGGAGCAAUGCCGGGCACGUGUGCCCGGAGGGAGAGGACCCGCAGAAUAAGCAUCGGCUAACUCCGUGCCAGCAGCCGCGGUAAUACGGAGGAUGCGGGCGUUAUCCGGAUUUAUUGGGGUUAAAGGGUGCGUAGGCGGAUUUUUAAGUAAGCGGUAAAAUGUCCGGGCUCAAACCGGGCCGGCCGUUGAAACUGGGGG
This 305-nucleotide ribosomal RNA is filed under the name uncultured bacterium. RNAcentral describes it as "bacterial SSU rRNA". It matches the Rfam family "Bacterial small subunit ribosomal RNA", at positions 337 to 639 of the family's 1533-position model. The record is from RNAcentral.